UACGGAGGGUGCAAGCGUUAUCCGGAUUCACUGGGUUUAAAGGGUGCGUAGGAGGGCAGGUAAGUCAGUGGUGAAAUCUCCAAGCUUAAUUUGGAAACUGCCGUUGAUACUAUCUGUCUUGAAUACCGUGGAGAUGAGCGGAAUAUGUCAUGUAGCGGUGAAAUGCUUAGAUAUGACAUAGAACACCAAUUGCGAAGGCAGCUCGUUACACGAAUAUUGACUCUGAGGCACGAAAGCGUGGGGAUCAAACAGG
Molecule: ribosomal RNA, 253 nt
Filed under: uncultured bacterium
Lineage: Bacteria
Description: partial 16S ribosomal RNA
Rfam family: Bacterial small subunit ribosomal RNA
Source: RNAcentral